Molecule: ribosomal RNA, 360 nt
Filed under: uncultured bacterium
Lineage: Bacteria
Description: bacterial SSU rRNA
Rfam family: Bacterial small subunit ribosomal RNA
Source: RNAcentral
GAGCUAAAACCAGAUAGGCAUUUUCCACGCAUGAGGGAGAUGAGAAAGGCGGAGCAAUCUGCCGCUUAUGGAUGGACCUGCGUCGCAUUAGCUAGUUGGAGUGGUAAAGGCACACCAAGGCGACGAUGCGUAGCCGACCUGAGAGGUGAGCGGCCACACUGGGACUGAGACACGGCCCAGACUCCUACGGGAGGCAGCAGUAGGGAAUCUUCCGCAAUGGACGAAAGUCUGACGGAGCAACGCCGCGUGAGUGAAGAAGGUUUUCGGAUCGUAAAGCUCUGUUGCCAGGGAAGAAGAGCAAGGAGAGGAACUGCUCCUUGAGUGACGGUACCUGAGAAGAAAGCCCCGGCUAACUACGUG